UACCAGCACCCCGAGUGGUCGGGACGUUUUAUUGGGCCUAAAGCAUCCGUAGCCGGUUCUACAAGUCUUCCGUUAAAUCCACCUGCUUAACAGAUGGGCUGCGGAAGAUACUAUGGAGCUAGGAGGCGGGAGAGGCAAGCGGUACUCGAUGGGUAGGGGUAAAAUCCGUUGAUCCAUUGAAGACCACCAGUGGCGAAGGCGGCUUGCCAGAACGCGCUCGACGGUGAGGGAUGAAAGCUGGGGGGAGCAAACCGG
Molecule: ribosomal RNA, 255 nt
Filed under: uncultured bacterium
Lineage: Bacteria
Description: partial 16S ribosomal RNA
Rfam family: Archaeal small subunit ribosomal RNA
Source: RNAcentral